This is a long non-coding RNA of Chenopodium quinoa (quinoa), 712 nucleotides long. RefSeq lists it as uncharacterized. The record is from RefSeq and is a predicted model, not a curated record. NCBI's taxonomy places the organism in Eukaryota, Viridiplantae, Streptophyta, Magnoliopsida, Caryophyllales, Amaranthaceae. The transcript has 2 exons.
ACCGUUUGACCCGACCUGCUGAGUUGUUGACCCGCAAAAUACCCGAUGGGUAAUUUUGAUUUUUUUUUUCAAUUUUGCGGGUCGGGUACCCGACCCGUUAAAAUAUCAGAUUUGGAAGCCGAACAUAGUGAGUUGCGGGUACCCGUUAAAUAACCGAAUUUUUUUUAUUUUUUCUUUUAAAAUUUCUUAGCUGGAACUCAAAUAAGGGUUACUUUCAUCUAGUCUUCUCUCUCCUCACUUCCUAAGACAAGCAGUAGCCGCAUCUCAACAUUCUUCUCACUCCUCUUCUCUCUCCUUGCUCACACUCAAUUCCCAAACACACACUCUCAAGUCUCUCUGAAACGAACCUUCUUCCUCCCUCUCAGGCGAACCUCCGUCGACCGUCAGUUCCUCGCCGUCAGCCGCGUAAGGGAUUAAAGACUUGGUCUCAGAGUAACCAACAAUUAUUAUUGAUGAAACUAUUGAAGCCUCGGAUGUCACAAGUGACUGAAAUUAUCCCCUCUCCCAUUUAGUUUUAUUUGUGGCUUUGAGAUAUUGUUUGGAGUUUGUAAUUUAUUUAGUUGUUUUAAUUUGAUGUAAACUGUUUGGACUAUCUAGCUGGACACCUUGAACUUUGAACUUUGGUUUGCAUAUUGUACUCUAAAUCAGAAUUUGGUUGAGUUAUGAGAAUAAUUCAAGAUAGGUAAGCAUUGCAUCAGGUUAUUUUUGUUAA